GUGGCAAGAGGAGACGAGAAUAAUCUUCUUCUUUAUAUUAAUAGAUAGAUAAGCAGUCGAUAAAUAUUCAUGCUCAUGAAUUUUAGAGAAAAAAACAUUUUUUAUCAAAUACUUGCAUAAUAAAGCUUACACUCCUAACGAGGAAAUAGUGAGCUUCAAAUAAGCGAGAAUAGUAAUAAUUGGCCAAUUCAUACGUCAAUUAUGGGUUAUGUUACAUGUCCAAAAAUAUACUUCAACUAAUAUAAAAUUCAACUUUUCAUAUAUAAACUUAAAAAACUAAGUUUUAACAUACAUUGACCUAAUUUCCGUUAGUCAAAACAUUAUGGAAUAAGAGUUUUCAUUAACCGGUAAUAUGAAAUUGGUCAAUUCUCACAUCAAUAUGGUCAACAGUCCUGAUUAAUAUAUACACUUUACAUGUGCGAAAACAUACAUCAACUAAUACAAAAUUUAAAUUCACUACAUGAACUAUUGAAAUCUGGUUUUUAACAUAUAUUGACCUAAUUUUCAUUAGUCAAAUAUUACCGAAGAUAAAUUGACUAUCUCAUGUUGAUUAAGUGCAAUUUUUAUUGUAUUAUGUGGUAGCUAAACCGUUUUAUGUGGUAAAUGACUGAGAAAAAUAAAUCAUAUGGCCAAACGAUUUCAUUCUUUGUGUGAUUGAUUGUAAUAUAAAAUUUAUUUUUCGAGUGUUGGACAAAUUUGAUUAUUUGGAACAUUCGUUUACUAUACUACUUAGACUAUAUGGAAUAUAAGAUAUGCAACAUGCUAACCAAUCAAAUGUGCUUUCAAAUAUUUAAUAUCGAAAAAUAAUUUAUAGAUUAUAUUGGAUUUAUAGGUUCCUGCAUAGGGUUUAGAUUUACUAAGUAAAAGUUUGGAUAUAGUAAACCAUAUUAUAUAUUUUUUAUUUGGGUUUAUACUUCCUUGAUUAGGGUUUAGCUUGAUUAGGAUUUAAAUUUGGAUUUAUGGUUUAGUGAUUUUGGGUUUAGGGUUUAGUAAUUGGAAGGUGGGGGUUGAGGUUGGGGUCAACAUAACUUCUUACAUGCAAGUAUAUACAUUUCAUAAUUUCACCAAUAUGUACUACACUGUUGAUUUUGUUCCAUUCUAUCUGAGUUUAGGGUUUAUUUUUGUAUUUAAGAUUUAUAUUUGGGUUUAGAAUUUAGUGAUUAGGGUUUAGGAUUUAGUAUUUAGUAUUGGGAAGGUAGGAGUUGAGAUUGAGACCAUCAUUAACUUCUUACGUGUAAGCCUAAACAUUUCAUAAUUUCGUAAAUAUGUAUUAUACUAUUUAUUUUAUUUCAUUCUAUUUGGGUUUAAAGUUUAUAUUUGGAUUUAAGAUUUGUAUUUUGAUAUUGGCUUUAGUGAAUAGGGUUUAGAAUUUAGUAUUUAGUAUUUAGGGGUUAUGGAUGUGAUUGUGAUAGGCUUUAAUAUUUAGAGUAGAGAUGGAAUUGGUGAUCUUUAUUAUUUUGUUGAUAGGAAGUUAAUAGAAUCUAUUCUAUUAAACCAGCAGUGUGACCCAUUGAUAAAAGUAGAGUCCAAUUAUUAUUUUCCCAAAAAACUGAUUAUUUUAUAACUGCUUAUAUUAAAUGACUAAUCACGUUUUUUGUCUAUAACAAUCAGUUACGUUUCUUCAAUCACAACAAUGUCGGAUUCAUUGAUUUAGAUUUUAGACCUGAUCAAAACGCGUCCAUGGUGAUCGAUUCUCUGGCGAUUAUACGUUCCAUGGUGGUUCACUGUGUUGAUUUGUCAUAAUCAGACAAGAAAUCGGAAAAUUUAAAGUAACUGACUUUUUGCAUUUUAAAAGGUUGAAAUCAGAUAUUUUGUAAUGGAUUACAAGUUGAAGGUAUAAACAACAAGAAAAACUUAAAAGUUGAUCGAUUAUGAAAGUAUGGUGGCCAUUGAAAUGUUGCAGAGAAUUCUAAAAUAUUCUUAGGGAAGGUGGAAAUAUUUACAAAAAUGCCACUCAAAAAAAAAAACAAUACACACUACAUAAUUAUAUCUAUCGAAUACAAGAGUGUAAAAUGGCCCAAGCUUCCAACAGACCAAGAUUAUACUGUAUAUAUUAAAAACCCUCUUUCUUGACUUAAUAUAUAACUACAUUUAUCUGAAACUUAAAAAAUAUAUUAUAAGAAAUAUUAAAUAUUUUUGAAUAUAUAUAAUAUUAAAACAGAAAUAAAUAUAUAUAUAUAUAUAUAUAUAAACCAGUGGAAAUAUAUUUCUUAAGUUUGUUUACUAUAAAAUGAAACUUUAAAAUUUAACUCAUAAAGUUAACUAAUAUUUUUUCAAACAAAAAAAAGUUAACUAUAUUAAUAUUAAUUAGUGGUGGAACGAGUUAUUAAUGACAUUUAAUUUUUAUAAGUGAACUUUUAAUAGAAAUAAAUAUUCAUAUAAACUCAUUUAGUUUAACGGGGUUUUAAUAAGUUAUUCAAUUGAAAAAUCUACUCUAUUAAAACAGCAGUGUGACCCAUUAAUAAAAGUAGUGUUCAACAAUUAUUUUCAUAUAUCAAUAUUAUUAAAACACAAUUAACACUAACUACUUUGUACGCUACAUAACUUCCACUAUAAACUCCUAAAUAAUCGGGACCCACUUCUUAUAAAGCUAAAACUGCUGAGUUACUUUAAUUCCAUAGCUUUCGUGUCUUAUGUAAUAGUUUUCUAUAGCCCACGCCAUUUUUAAUACAACUAAUGCCAUAUCAUUUCAUCAAAAAAAAACUACCAAGUAAAAACAAUUUCAAACGAUGAAGAUACCCAAUACGAUGUCAUCUAAAGAAGAAUAAAUUUUUUUUUUAUUUUAGCAUUUUAUUAGAAAGAAAAUUAACUUGCAAUAAAAAUUAUACUAAUAAACAAUAUCCUUAGAAUUUUAUUAAGUUUACAUCAAACAUGCAAAAAUUUGUGAUUAUAACUUUUUGCAGGUUAUUUUAAAAAGCACUAGAUUCUUGCGGGUAUAUUUUUGUUUUAAUUUUUCUUAAAAUUUAAUUUUUAAAUUUGUGUUUUUUUUGUAAUCAUAUUAUGUUUAACAUUAAUUUAACUACCAAAAAUAUAUUAAAUUAAAUAUAAUAUGAUUAAAAAAAAUACAACUACAAAUUAAAAUUUUCAAAAAAUUAAAACAAAAAUAUUUUUACAUAAUUUAAAGGACGGUUAUAUUUGUAUUUCUAUAUUUUGACAUAAUUUAAUUGAGUACCCGUAUUUGAACUGAACCCGUAAUGAUCCAUACUGAAUUCGAACUAAAAUUUAUAAAUAUCCAAAUAGGUUUUAAUCUCUCAUCUAAAGACCAUUAUCUGAAUAGUCGGAAUCGAACCCGAACUCUUACCCUUACAUGUAGUCUAUAAUAUGAUCACAGAUAAAAAACAUAAAUAUGAUUACAAACAAAUACAUAUAUGAUACAAGGAAAGACACAAGUACAUAUGAAACUUGAUUUAUUUAAUAUACUUACAAAAAUAAUCUAUUCUAUUAAAUUCAUAUCAUACUAAAAUAUAAUUAUACAAACACACAAACAUAUAAAUUAUAUUAGACAUAAAUUUUUAAAACAAAAUAUAUACCUGCCUUCUCGAGGGCGGAUCAAUAUCUAGUAUACCAUUUAUUGCAGAGGUGUUUUAUUUUUAUCUACUUACUAGGAUUUGGCCCGCCCUACGGGCGGGUUAUUAAUCAAAUUAUUACAUAUAUAUAAUCAAUUUAAAGAAUAUUUUAAGAUGUUUAGCUUAUUUUAAAUUUAAAAAUGAUUUUAGUAUUUACUGGGCAUGUUUUGUUAUUAUUUUUAUAGAUUACGUUUAUCUUACUAUUGAACAUAUGUUCACGAAUACAUAAUCUAUAUAUAUAAAGAAGAGCUAAUUACAAUUAAAAUGAAAUAUGUAAUUAAAAUACUUAAAACUACAAUUAUAUAUUUGAAUAUAUUAUUUAUUUUGACAAUUCUGUUAUUUUGGUUUAAUUGCUGCUUGGUAUAUAUCCAUAAUAAGACACUAAUGUUUAUAUUGUAAAUCAAUUGUGUAUUUUUUUUUUAAAAAAAAGAAUUGUGUAGUUGCUUAUUGUAGAUAAACUAUUGUUCUUUUUUUUUGGCCAGUAGUACUCGGCUUAUGGAUAUGUAGUAUUGGGGAAGGGAAACUAUGUUAUGGACAAUGUGUUUUUUUUUUCUUACCUUUGUAGUUGAGCUAUAUUGGUAAUUUACUUGUGGUUGUUUUCUAUUUGGUUAAUUUUCUUUCUUCUGUAUGUUCGUUAAUUUUUUUCUUCUUCUUUAAAUUCUUAACUAUUAAUUAAUAUAUCAUAUUUUUUUAUUGUUUUGCUAAAAGUAUACAUACAUAGUAUUCUUGGAAAUGAUUGAUAUGUAACGAAAAACUUGUUCAGGGGGGCUUUAAGAGAUGGGUAAAUCGUUUUGGAUGUUCAAGAAUGUUCGGAGUAGGUGCUAGGUGGCCCUCGAUGGUCUUUUGUGUGUGUUGUGCUUAAAAAGAAAGUGAAGAGUGAUUCGCUGAAAGUAAUGCAUCUCAUAGAAGAACCCAACCCAAAAAAUUGCUUACACCCAUUCAUGCGACUAAUUUUGAAUCAAAAGUCAAAUUCUUAUUGCUUGCAUUUGCAUAGAUUGCAAGUUUCCAAAUUGGCAAUGUAUUUUCCUUGCUUUACAACAACAGUUGCUUCUAAUGUCUUGGCAUCUGAGCUUUUGAUUCUUGGUUUGUUUUUGGUUCUCGAAUUUUUUUUGAGAAAUUUUCCAUAGAAACACUCGUGCCGUUUGUCAAACCCACCAAUCAAUCCAUUGUCAGACCAAAAGAUUCAAGCCUUUUGUCUCUUUCAGGUGGUUUGACAUCCGCCAUCAACUUAUUGUCACCAUUGUAGCUAAUAGCUUGUCUCAUUUACAUGUACAUCUACUGAAAUACAAUGCAAUCUCAAGAGGAAACCUCACGGUCACAGCAACAGCUCAUAAAAACACAGUUAAUAACAUAGAGACUGAAUUGGUAGCAGUAUCCAUACCUGAGCACCGCAGAACUCAGUACUCAGCAGUCUGAGGUGCAAUGGCGUUAGGAACGUCAAAAGUCUAAGAAUUAGGAGUACAUAUAGCAAAGUGGAUUAGUUAGGCGAGAGACUUGGGAGGAGAAUUGGGGACAUAUGCGUUAAGCCCUCGCACCAUCAGAUGUUCUGAAGAAUUUGAGGAGCAACUGAUGUCAGUGCCACACAACCUACGGUGAGUGAUCAUUGUGAUGUGUGAAAGAGGAACGAAGCAGACGCAUGAAAACAGUCUCCUGACAACGACAUGACUCCAAAUAUGGAAAUAUUCCAUUGUUGGAGCUUUGUGUUAAUAUAGCGUUAAUAGAGUUCAUGGUCAAACAACAUAAGUUAAUGUAAACGCCUAUUUAGCUCCAUACAUGACAAUCAAUCAUUUAUCUACUGAA
This is a long non-coding RNA of Brassica rapa (field mustard), 5366 nucleotides long. RefSeq lists it as uncharacterized. The record is from RefSeq and is a predicted model, not a curated record. Lineage: Eukaryota; Viridiplantae; Streptophyta; Magnoliopsida; Brassicales; Brassicaceae.